UGCAGUCGAGCGAACAGACAAGGAGCUUGCUCCUUUGACGUUAGCGGCGGACGGGUGAGUAACACGUGGGUAACCUACCUAUAAGACUGGGAUAACUUCGGGAAACCGGAGCUAAUACCGGAUAAUAUUUCGAACCGCAUGGUUCGAUAGUGAAAGAUGGUUUUGCUAUCACUUAUAGAUGGACCCGCGCCGUAUUAGCUAGUUGGUAAGGUAACGGCUUACCAAGGCGACGAUACGUAGCCGACCUGAGAGGGUGAUCGGCCACACUGGAACUGAGACACGGUCCAGACUCCUACGGGAGGCAGCAGUAGGGAAUCUUCCGCAAUGGGCGAAAGCCUGACGGAGCAACGCCGCGUGAGUGAUGAAGGUCUUCGGAUCGUAAAACUCUGUUAUUAGGGAAGAACAUACGUGUAAGUAACUAUGCACGUCUUGACGGUACCUAAUCAGAAAGCCACGGCUAACUACGUGCCAGCAGCCGCGGUAAUACGUAGGUGGCAAGCGUUAUCCGGAAUUAUUGGGCGUAAAGCGCGCGUAGGCGGUUUUUUAAGUCUGAUGUGAAAGCCCACGGCUCAACCGUGGAGGGUCAUUGGAAACUGGAAAACUUGAGUGCAGAAGAGGAAAGUGGAAUUCCAUGUGUAGCGGUGAAAUGCGCAGAGAUAUGGAGGAACACCAGUGGCGAAGGCGACUUUCUGGUCUGUAACUGACGCUGAUGUGCGAAAGCGUGGGGAUCAAACAGGAUUAGAUACCCUGGUAGUCCACGCCGUAAACGAUGAGUGCUAAGUGUUAGGGGGUUUCCGCCCCUUAGUGCUGCAGCUAACGCAUUAAGCACUCCGCCUGGGGAGUACGACCGCAAGGUUGAAACUCAAAGGAAUUGACGGGGACCCGCACAAGCGGUGGAGCAUGUGGUUUAAUUCGAAGCAACGCGAAGAACCUUACCAAAUCUUGACAUCCUUUGACAACUCUAGAGAUAGAGCCUUCCCCUUCGGGGGACAAAGUGACAGGUGGUGCAUGGUUGUCGUCAGCUCGUGUCGUGAGAUGUUGGGUUAAGUCCCGCAACGAGCGCAACCCUUAAGCUUAKUUGCCAUCAUUAAGUUGGGCACUCUAAGUUGACUGCCGGUGACAAACCGGAGGAAGGUGGGGAUGACGUCAAAUCAUCAUGCCCCUUAUGAUUUGGGCUACACACGUGCUACAAUGGACAAUACAAAGGGCAGCGAAACCGCGAGGUCAAGCAAAUCCCAUAAAGUUGUUCUCAGUUCGGAUUGUAGUCUGCAACUCGACUACAUGAAGCUGGAAUCGCUAGUAAUCGUAGAUCAGCAUGCUACGGUGAAUACGUUCCCGGGUCUUGUACACACCGCCCGUCACACCACGAGAGUUUGUAACACCCGAAGCCGGUGGAGUAACCAUUGGAGCUAGCCGUCGAAGGUGAAC
This 1428-nucleotide ribosomal RNA is filed under the name Staphylococcus haemolyticus. RNAcentral's name for it is "bacterial SSU rRNA". It matches the Rfam family "Bacterial small subunit ribosomal RNA". Lineage: Bacteria; Bacillati; Bacillota; Bacilli; Caryophanales; Staphylococcaceae. The record is from RNAcentral.